This 205-nucleotide ribosomal RNA is filed under the name uncultured Pseudomonas sp. RNAcentral's name for it is "partial 16S ribosomal RNA". It matches the Rfam family "Bacterial small subunit ribosomal RNA", at positions 1179 to 1382 of the family's 1533-position model. The record is from RNAcentral. Lineage: Bacteria; Pseudomonadati; Pseudomonadota; Gammaproteobacteria; Pseudomonadales; Pseudomonadaceae.
AUGAACGUCAAGUCAUCAUGGCCUUACGGCCUGGGCUACACACGUGCUACAAUAGGUCGGUACAAAGGGUUGCCAAGCCGCGAGGUGGAGCUAAUCCCAUAAAACCGAUCGUAGUCCGGAUCGCAGUCUGCAACUCGACUGCGUGAAGUCGGAAUCGCUAGUAAUCGUGAAUCAGAAUGUCACGGUGAAUACGUUCCCGGGCCUU